This 814-nucleotide ribosomal RNA is filed under the name uncultured bacterium. RNAcentral describes it as "bacterial SSU rRNA". It matches the Rfam family "Bacterial small subunit ribosomal RNA", at positions 60 to 916 of the family's 1533-position model. The record is from RNAcentral.
AGUCGAACGGGAAUCUUCGGAUUCUAGUGGCGGACGGGUGAGUAACGCGUAAGAAUCUAACUUCAGGACGGGGACAACAGUUGGAAACGACUGCUAAUACCCGAUAUGCCGCGAGGUGAAACCUAAUUGGCCUGAAGAAGAGCUUGCGUCUGAUUAGCUAGUUGGUGGGGUAAGAGCCUACCAAGGCGACGAUCAGUAGCUGGUCUGAGAGGAUGAGCAGCCACACUGGGACUGAGACACGGCCCAGACUCCUACGGGAGGCAGCAGUGGGGAAUUUUCCGCAAUGGGCGAAAGCCUGACGGAGCAACGCCGCGUGAGGGAGGAAGGUCUUUGGAUUGUAAACCUCUUUUCUCAAGGAAGAAGUUCUGACGGUACUUGAGGAAUCAGCCUCGGCUAACUCCGUGCCAGCAGCCGCGGUAAUACGGGGGAGGCAAGCGUUAUCCGGAAUUAUUGGGCGUAAAGCGUCCGCAGGUGGUCAGCCAAGUCUGCCGUCAAAUCAGGUUGCUUAACGACCUAAAGGCGGUGGAAACUGGCAGACUAGAGAGCAGUAGGGGUAGCAGGAAUUCCCAGUGUAGCGGUGAAAUGCGUAGAGAUUGGGAAGAACAUCGGUGGCGAAAGCGUGCUACUGGGCUGUAUCUGACACUCAGGGACGAAAGCUAGGGGAGCGAAAGGGAUUAGAUACCCCUGUAGUCCUAGCCGUAAACGAUGGAUACUAGGCGUGGCUUGUAUCGACCCGAGCCGUGCCGAAGCUAACGCGUUAAGUAUCCCGCCUGGGGAGUACGCACGCAAGUGUGAAACUCAAAGGAAUUGACGG